CCUCUCUCUUCCAGGACUUUAUGCUAUUACCUCCUGUUUGAACAUCAGGUAAUCUACCGCCCUCUCUUCCAGGACCUUAGGCUAUUAACUCCUAUUUGGACCUCAGGUAAUCUACAACACCUUUGUCUUCCAGGAACUUAUGCUAUUACCUCCUAUUUGGACAUCAGGUAAUCUAGUGCCCUCUCUCUUUCAUGCCCUUAGGCCAUUUCCUCCUAUUUGGACAUCAGGUAAUCUACAACACCUUUGUCUCCCAGGACCUUAUGCUAUUACCUCCUAUUUGGACAUCACAUAAGCUACAACACCUUUGUCUUCGAGGACCUUAUGCUAUUACCUCCUAUUUGGACAUCAGGUAAUCUAACAACACCUUUUUCUUCCAGGACCUUAUGCUAUUACCUCCUAUUUGGACAUCAGGUAAUCUACAACACCUUUGUCUUUGAGGACCUUAUGCUAUUACCUCCUAUUUGGACAUCAGGUAAUCUACAACACCUUUGUCUUCCAGGACCUUAUGCUAUUACCUCCCAUUUGCACAUCAGGUCAUCUACAACACGUCUAUCUUCCAGGACCUUAUGGGAUUACCUCCUACUUGGACAUCAGAUAAUCUACAACCCUCUCUCUUGCAGGACCUUACGCUAUUACCUCCUAUUGGAGAUCGGGUUAUCUAUAACCCUCUCUCUUCCAGGACCAUAGGCUAUUACUUCCUAUUUGGACAUCAGGUAAUCUACAGCCUUCUCUCUACCAGCACCUUAUGCUAUUACCUCCUAUUUGGACAUCACAUAAUCUAUAACCCUCUCUUCCAGGAUCUUAUGCUAUUACCUCCUAUUUGGACAUCAGGUAAUAUAACAACACCUUUGUCUUCCAGGACUUUAUGCUAUUCCCUCCUCUUUGGACAUCAGGCAAUCUACAACACCUUUGUCUUCCAAGACCUUAUACUAUUACCUCCUAUUUGGACAUCGGGUAAUUUACAACACCUUUGUCUUCCAGGACCUUAUGCUAUUACCUCCUAUUUGGACAUCAGGUAAUCUACAACACCUUUGUCUUC
RNAcentral lists this long non-coding RNA (1039 nucleotides) under Pan troglodytes (chimpanzee). RNAcentral describes it as "long non-coding RNA NONPTRT013336". The record is from RNAcentral. Lineage: Eukaryota; Metazoa; Chordata; Mammalia; Primates; Hominidae.